Molecule: long non-coding RNA, 1909 nt
Organism: Chinchilla lanigera (long-tailed chinchilla)
Lineage: Eukaryota; Metazoa; Chordata; Mammalia; Rodentia; Chinchillidae
Source: Ensembl
GGACAGAGCUGAAGACCAUCAACCACUUCCUCUUCCAGAACCAGGUGGACAGCAUCAACCUGUUUAAGGUAGAGCGCCACCCUUCGGCCCUGGCACAUCACCCGUCCUUAGUGCCAGCUGCAGCAGCCGCUGCCUACGAUCGAAAAAGGAAUAAAAGCAGAGUCCCCAGUCACCAAGCAGUCAGACGCAGGAGAGUACGGGGCCCUUGAAGCAGUGUACACCGAGGAACAAAGUGACCUUCGCUCCGGCGCCGGGCUCGGAUGGCUUGGUGGGAAGAGAGCCUCUCUGGGACCUCGGGCACAGUGGAGCCCGCGGGUCCUCCCCUCCCCUCUUCCGUCUCGCCCUGGAGCCUCGGGUCGGAGCGCAGCCUAAGAACUGUCCGGCUCUCCCGCGGGGUGUGCGGCCACUGUCGCUCGAAUCACAGCCCAGCGACUGCAGUGUCAGCUGCCUCUGUGCGGAGGACUCACUGUGUUCCGGGAGGGGCACGGGUGGGGGCCGCAGGACAGCGCCGCGCCCCGCUGCCCGAGCCAGCGCCCCGCAGUGCCCCUUCCUGCUGCCUUCUCCUGCGGGCCAGCUUUUCGCGACGUCCCCUUUAGGUCACUGCUGGAAACUGAGUCACCUGCCUCCUUUCUGCCCCGAGUCCCACGCGCACAGGGUCCCCAGCCCGUGGCCAGCCCUGUCUCUGAAGUGCGGGUCACAGUGCCCCCUCCUCACCCCGUCUCCCUUGCAGGUGCAGCGGUACUGCGAGAGGAGCAAGGUCAGCAGGAAGGUGCGGCCCCUGCCCGGCCUCCCUGCCCGGUCUUCUGCCUCGGGGUCCCCAGCUCGUCCGUGUCUGCUCCUCAGGCUGGGGCGGCACGGGCUGCAGCUGUGUGGAGUCCUGUGUCACGCUGCCACCCUCUCUCCUCUCCGCCAGCUCUGCGGCUUCACGGAACGCUACGGCGCCGUCCUCCCGCCGCCCCGGGAGCCGUCCGGGCUGGCCGGGCUCCAGCGCUUCCUGCAGAGCGUGCAGCCCGCGGUGAGCGAGGCGCCCGCCGCGCCCCUGGAGGAGGCCGAGGUCGGGGCCACGCGGGCCGCUUCCCCGCUGAUGCACAUCGAAGGCUUCCUCGCGGCCCUCACCACCGCCAGCCAGGACGGCAGGGUCAUCCUGAGCCGCCAAGGCAGCCUCAGCCAGAGCAGCCUCAAAUUCUUGCUCCUGAAUCCAGCUGUGCACUUUGCCCAGGUGGUGAAGGAAUGCCGGGCGGUGGUCAUUGCAGGUGGCACCAUGCAGCCGAUUUUCUCAAAAUCAGCAUGGGAAGCCCCUGCCUGCCCUCCUGAUCCUGUCGGCGGGACCCGGCCCGAUGUCUCCUUAUGUUCACGCACAACAGAGCGACGUCUCAGUGGAGGGCGGCACGUGGCCCUUGGUGCCAGGGCGCCCGCUCGCUCCCGACUGUCACUGCAUGGGCCACGUGGCAGGGACACCCAGGACAUGCGUUUUGAAAAGCAUGAAAACGAGUACCAGCGCCAGGUCCUUGCCCACUGGGACAAGAGUAACCUGCUGGCUGGCCUCGCUGUCAGGAAAAAGGUGAGUGGCCCUUUGCCUGGCACACACCCUCCCAGGUUGGCAGUGCCCCCAGAGCUCCGGCUGGAGUCCUCACGCUCCCUAAACCCAGAUGGUUCCACUUCUCCUGGUCCCUCACCCGCACCAUGUCCAUCUCCGGUCUCUGGGUCCUGGCCAAAGGGACCCCCAAGGAUGAAUGCCCUAAGAAGGGCUGUCCACACAGUGCAGACGGGAGACCUCACAAUCCUCGGCCCUUUUCUGGGAUGCUGUCUCUCCCUCCCUAAGAACCCAAGAAAGCCAGCCAGGUGGAGCAGGUGCUGGCGGCAUACUCCAGGUGCAUUAAGAGCUGUCACCAGGCGGGAGGCCCGGUGA